CAGCCCUACAACCACCACCCCACACACAAGGUUGCUCCCUGCUCCCUCCUGUUCAUUUAUCUGUCCAGCUCAAUCCUACAUUCCUACCGCUACUUUUGCUGUUGAAAUCGAGAUGCUACCCUCAUCCUGCUGCUGUCUGUCAAUCGAAUCAAACUGCCCAGAGAAUGAAUGAGUUUGCAACCCUUCCUAAUUUUUUGAUCUUGUUCUAUUUUGAAAUGGACGCAGCACGUGCUCUGCUCUUGCUCACGUCUAGCACCGUCUCCGGCUCAGUGGUGCUUCUUGAGGCGACCGGCGUGACGGCGGCGACCACAAGCUCUCCGGUGAGUCGGAUCCAUCUUCUAGCCCUAGCUCCCUAUUUUCUGCUCCUAUAGCAUGCUCUGUUGGUUUAGAACACUAGCAGCAGUAGCCUACCGUGUAUACGUACUAAACAGCAGGAGCUCAAUCACCUUGUGUACACUAGCAGCUUGCUUACACACUUGUCACUUUUGCUUGUGGUAGCCAUUACGUAGCGAAUCAUGUCCGUGUCUACUAAUCAUCAGUUCAUAGUAUUUGGCUUUUGUGUGAUGGUCUGCGACUAUUUUAUGGUGACGUGGAUAUACUUUCUGAUUUAAAGUUACUAAUAUUUUUUGUUUUGAUUCUUUCUCUGGUGCGAGGAAAGCUGUGAGUAGACGUCAAUGAUGCCUACUUGCUUGGCUGCUACAGUGAUGCAUGCGCCGGUCAAGCAAGCACACAUGCAUAUACGUACAUGUUAAGAUAGUAGCAGAUGUGCCAUAAUUCCUGUGUAAGGAAAUGUAUUCCUGAGAUGAUUUUGUUAUGUUAUCUAAACCUGGGAGAUGUGUUAUGUGAUGUGAUAUGAUGGAUGAUCUGAAUUCGACAUUGAGUUUUCCUGAUUUGAAUAUGAAACAAUGUCGGAUGCGUGUGUGUAACUGGAUUAAAGAGGUCUUGUGCCCAAACAAUUGUGUCCAAACAUUUUUUUCAAAUCUGAGUUCUAAUACUGGACAACUAAUUAGGCUGAAAAAGGCCACGACCCAACAC
Molecule: long non-coding RNA, 1035 nt
Filed under: Triticum aestivum (bread wheat)
Lineage: Eukaryota; Viridiplantae; Streptophyta; Magnoliopsida; Poales; Poaceae
Description: long non-coding RNA (TAES_LNC008639)
Source: RNAcentral